Long non-coding RNA from Ictalurus punctatus (channel catfish), 1095 nucleotides. NCBI's taxonomy places the organism in Eukaryota, Metazoa, Chordata, Actinopteri, Siluriformes, Ictaluridae. The record is from Ensembl.
AUCUGCUCAUGAUCCAAAACAUACAAGCUCAUCUGUGAAACAUGGUGGAGGAAUCUGAGUAACAUAAUGGCAAGAAAGAGAGAAAACAAAUGCCACAAGGGUCCCGUGCAUUUUUCUCUGACUCCAGGCACCUGAUAUGCUUAAUUAUACAGACUUCACUGAAGUGUACAGGAUGGAUGUACUGUCGGAGCAGCCUGUGGCAAAAUGCGUGAUCCUGUACAGGGCAGCAAUGCAGAUGAAGAUAAAGAUGAAGAUGUAAUCACUGGCAUAUGAAGGAAUGUACAGUACAUGAAGGAGCGCAUUCUUUUUCUCAAUGUGUAGCCUGAGGGGUGUGGAAAAGGAGGGCAGAGGGAGAGAGGACCAUAUGCAGCCUCACAAGGAAGCUAAACUGGCACUCUCUCUGUGUGUCCUGAAGACAUGCCUCAUCUGUGCUGCUGGACGUGUGUCUGACGCCAGGCGGAACUGAGUUUGCCUGGAGCAGAGAGAUGGAGAAACGGGGAGACCGAGAUACCGGAAACUGUAUAGGAGUGUACAGUCAUGUCUAUUGGCACGAGUUAACGGAUUUAUCACCGUGUGAAGAGGAAGAGGGAGAGAUUUACUAUGAGUUCUCAAGCUUGCCAGCACCGAGGAACCUGGUCUGACCAAUUUUCAGCACCCUUUACUAAAAUAUGGAGCGUUUCUUCAGAGCUGCUGAUUUGGAUUCAGUGUUUUCAGAGAGGUUGAAGUGACAACACGGAGUUGAAAGCUGUUCUGGGAUCAGUGUGUGCUGCAGAGCUGAAUUUGAAGUGUGAGGAGAAAUUUCGACAUGGCUCAAGCCUGUCUGAUGUACGGUAAAGGGUUUACGACAGGAAUGACUCGGCUGUACAUUCAAACACUCGGCUUCACCUCCAUUUGUAGAUAACCAAGUUAGCAUGCGCGUAAAUAAUCAUCGUAGCUGUGGCGCUUCAGACCUGUAAGCUCUAAACUGGCCGAGUGUGUCAGAGUGUGUGUUAUGUAGUGAUUUCACUGCAGGCUUGGGUUCCACGGUGAGUGUGUUUAGCACAGCAUAACAGCCUUUUCAUUUCACUUGAUGCGUUUGACUCAAUAAAGCUCAGA